RNAcentral lists this ribosomal RNA (416 nucleotides) under Curvularia lunata. RNAcentral's name for it is "eukaryotic LSU rRNA". The stretch from base 83 to 236 matches the Rfam family "5.8S ribosomal RNA". Lineage: Eukaryota; Fungi; Ascomycota; Dothideomycetes; Pleosporales; Pleosporaceae. The record is from RNAcentral.
UUCGCCCGCCACCAGGACCACACCAUAAACCUUUUUUAUGCAGUUGCAAUCAGCGUCAGUAUAACAAAUGUAAAUCAUUUACAACUUUCAACAACGGAUCUCUUGGUUCUGGCAUCGAUGAAGAACGCAGCGAAAUGCGAUACGUAGUGUGAAUUGCAGAAUUCAGUGAAUCAUCGAAUCUUUGAACGCACAUUGCGCCCUUUGGUAUUCCAAAGGGCAUGCCUGUUCGAGCGUCAUUUGUACCCUCAAGCUUUGCUUGGUGUUGGGCGUCUUUUGUCUUUGGCCUCGCCCAAAGACUCGCCUUAAAACGAUUGGCAGCCGGCCUACUGGUUUCGCAGCGCAGCACAUUUUUGCGCUUGCAAUCAGCACAAGGACGGCAAUCCAUCAAGACUACAUUUUUACGUUUGACCUCGGAU